Long non-coding RNA from Xiphophorus couchianus (Monterrey platyfish), 732 nucleotides. RefSeq lists it as uncharacterized. Lineage: Eukaryota; Metazoa; Chordata; Actinopteri; Cyprinodontiformes; Poeciliidae. The record is from RefSeq and is a predicted model, not a curated record. The transcript is spliced from 2 exons.
GAACACCGUGCUGCUCAUGAACUUGAAGAACCUGUCGGCGUAGAAACCCGGUCGGUGGACCGACACGGUGUCCUGAGAGAGAGAUGAGGAGAGUUUAUAAGACAAAUGGUCAAGCUGCUCUCCCGAGCAUCGCACACAAACACGUCUGCCACGGACGCUUUGAGACACCGUCAGACGAGGCAACAGACACUCUGCUUCAUUAUUUAUGUAUCAUCCCAGUGGGAUAACACUGCCAACAGACUGACAGAUGACACUUGGUGUUUGGUUUAGAGCAACAGAGCGCAGAAGGAGACUGAAGGAGACGGAGGAAGCGAGCGGGGAGAGAGAAUCCGCGCUAUUAGGUUUCUGCUUCAGCAUCACUUUUAAACAGCAUGAGUAACAUCUUUUCUCACAUUCAUCAGCUGCGUGUAAUAUGAAGAAAGUUUGGAGUGUUCAUCAUAGUGACGCAGAGGAGGCGGCUUGCUCUCCUACACACGUCUUGUGAAUUAGCGCGGCUCAGAGUGGGAGAGUUGGAGGGAAGACUGAUGAGUCGGUUUAAUCUCGAGCGUAGACUCGGGAGUGAUGUAGAGCCUAAACCCGAGGUUUGGAUGACAAGCAGAAUAUAAACACACGGGAAAACAAAAUAAUCUGUCAUCAAACUCAUCUGCGUGACGUGCACUUCAGGGGAAAAAGCCCAAGCAGUGCACAUAUUCAAAAUUAACAAAGUUUCAUUAAAUGGAUUCCACAAAAACA